CUACGGGCUGCUCCAGUGAGGAAUUUUGCGCAAUGGGGGAAACCCUGACGCAGCAACGCCGCGUGAGUGAAGAAGGCCCUUGGGUCGUAAAACUCUGUCAACAGGGAAGAAGUUAUUGUGUAUUAACAGUGCACUUUAUUGACGGUACCUGUGAAGGAAGCACCGGCUAACUCCGUGCCAGCAGCCGCGGUAAUACGGGGGGUGCAAGCGUUAUUCGGAAUUAUUGGGCGUAAAGGGCACGCAGGCGGUCUUGCCAGUCAGAUGUGAAAGCCCGGGGCUCAACCCCGGAAGUGCAUUUGAAACUACAAGACUUGAGUACGGUAGAGGAGAGGGGAAUUCCUGGUGUAGAGGUGAAAUUCGUAGAUAUCAGGAGGAACACCGGUGGCGAAGGCGCCUCUCUGGGCCGACACUGACGCUGAGGUGCGAAGGCGUGGGUAGCGAACAGGAUUAGAUACCCGGGUAGUC
This 465-nucleotide ribosomal RNA is filed under the name uncultured bacterium. RNAcentral describes it as "partial 16S ribosomal RNA". It matches the Rfam family "Bacterial small subunit ribosomal RNA", at positions 339 to 795 of the family's 1533-position model. The record is from RNAcentral.